CUACGGGAUGCAGCAGUGAGGAAUAUUGCACAAUGGGGGGAACCCUGAUGCAGCAACGCCGCGUGGAGGAUGACGCAUUUCGGUGUGUAAACUCCUUUUAUAUGUCAAGAAAAUGACGGUAGCAUAUGAAUAAGCACCGGCUAACUCCGUGCCAGCAGCCGCGGUAAUACGGAGGGUGCAAGCGUUACUCGGAAUCACUGGGCGUAAAGGACGCGUAGGCGGGUUGGAAAGUCAGGUGUGAAAUCCUACAGCUUAACUGUAGAACUGCACUUGAAACUUCUAAUCUAGAGUAUGGGAGGGGGAGAUGGAAUUAGUGGUGUAGGGGUAAGAUCCGUAGAUAUCACUAGGAAUACCUAAAGCGAAGGCGAUCUCCUAGAACAUUACUGACGCUAAGGCGUGAAAGCGUGGGGAGCAAACAGGAUUAGAUACCCUUGUAGUC
RNAcentral lists this ribosomal RNA (439 nucleotides) under uncultured bacterium. RNAcentral's name for it is "partial 16S ribosomal RNA". It matches the Rfam family "Bacterial small subunit ribosomal RNA", at positions 339 to 795 of the family's 1533-position model. The record is from RNAcentral.